UAUAAGACUGGGAUAACUUCGGGAAACCGGAGCUAAUACCGGAUAAUAUAUUGAACCGCAUGGUUCAAUAGUGAAAGACGGUUUUGCUGUCACUUAUAGAUGGAUCCGCGCCGCAUUAGCUAGUUGGUAAGGUAACGGCUUACCAAGGCAACGAUGCGUAGCCGACCUGAGAGGGUGAUCGGCCACACUGGAACUGAGACACGGUCCAGACUCCUACGGGAGGCAGCAGCG
This 231-nucleotide ribosomal RNA is filed under the name uncultured Staphylococcus sp. RNAcentral describes it as "partial 16S ribosomal RNA". It matches the Rfam family "Bacterial small subunit ribosomal RNA", at positions 131 to 356 of the family's 1533-position model. Lineage: Bacteria; Bacillati; Bacillota; Bacilli; Caryophanales; Staphylococcaceae. The record is from RNAcentral.